AUGUUUAUGAAAGUAGAGGUUAGCAUGGCCCCUUGACAAGGAUGGAAAAGUCUCAGGUCUAGUAACAGGCGCUGGUCAAGGCACGGUCAUGUAUUUUG
Molecule: non-coding RNA, 98 nt
Filed under: Microtus ochrogaster (prairie vole)
Lineage: Eukaryota; Metazoa; Chordata; Mammalia; Rodentia; Cricetidae
Source: RNAcentral